Molecule: ribosomal RNA, 245 nt
Filed under: uncultured Falsiporphyromonas sp.
Lineage: Bacteria; Pseudomonadati; Bacteroidota; Bacteroidia; Bacteroidales; Porphyromonadaceae
Description: partial 16S ribosomal RNA
Rfam family: Bacterial small subunit ribosomal RNA
Source: RNAcentral
UACGGAGGAUGCGAGCGUUAUCCGGAUUUAUUGGGUUUAAAGGGUGCGUAGGCGGAAAGUUAAGUCAGCGGUGAAACGCAGGUGCUCAACACCUGACCUGCCGUUGAGACUGGUUUUCUGGAAUGCGGAUGCUGUGGGAGGAAUGUGUGGUGUAGCGGUGAAAUGCAUAGAUAUCACACAGAACACCGAUUGCGAAGGCAUCUCACAAAUCCGCUAUUGACGCUGAGGCACGAAGGUGCGGGGAU